This 422-nucleotide ribosomal RNA is filed under the name uncultured bacterium. RNAcentral's name for it is "bacterial SSU rRNA". It matches the Rfam family "Bacterial small subunit ribosomal RNA", at positions 355 to 776 of the family's 1533-position model. The record is from RNAcentral.
UGAGGAAUAUUGGUCAAUGGGGGAAACCCUGAACCAGCGACGCCGCGUGAGGGAUGAAGGGGCUUUGCCUUGUAAACCUCUGUCAGAUGGGAGGAGAGUCACCUUAGAGGUGAUGGGACAGUACCAUCGAAGGAAGGAUCGGCUAACUACGUGCCAGCAGCCGCGGUAAUACGUAGGAUCCAAGCGUUGUCCGGAGUUACUGGGUGUAAAGGGUGCGUAGGCGGCUAUCUGCGUCAGAAGUGAAAUAUAACGGCUUAACCGUUGGAAUGCUUUUGAUACGGGAUAGCUUGAGUAUGACAGAGGCGAGUAGAAUUCCUGGUGUAGCGGUGAAAUGCGUAGAUAUCAGGAGGAAUACCAGUGGCGAAGGCGGCUCGCUGGGUCAUAACUGACGCUGAGGCACGAAAGCGUGGGGAGCAAACAGG